This is a long non-coding RNA of Girardinichthys multiradiatus, 399 nucleotides long. RefSeq lists it as uncharacterized. The record is from RefSeq and is a predicted model, not a curated record. The transcript has 3 exons. Lineage: Eukaryota; Metazoa; Chordata; Actinopteri; Cyprinodontiformes; Goodeidae.
GAGGAACCCGGGCUCAUGGUUGAGUCCUUUGUGUCAGACAGGAAGCCAUGGGCACAUAUCCUAAAACAAGUCGGUUAGAACGGCUCUGGUGCGGCACUUGCAUUCAUUAGGUCUCACUCACCUAAGGCCUGCUGCUUUGUGAAAAACUAGAUCUAACUGGAGAAGAAUGGAGGUUCAGCAGCUUUGGGAGUGCGAAAAGCAGCAGUUACAUUAUGGCACACAGAACAUCCAAAAGCAUGCGUGUUACAGCUAACAAGCAAACGGGCAAGAUGAGCAAUAAAUAUCAGUGCUGCUUCGCUGCAGUGACUCUUGACCUAAUUCUCAGCCCGGGACUGGGUGCUGAAAACAGAAAAACAGAGGCAACGCAAGUGAGGGUAAUUUGGUGCGACUGAACCCUCC